This is a long non-coding RNA of Grammomys surdaster, 1379 nucleotides long. RefSeq lists it as uncharacterized. NCBI's taxonomy places the organism in Eukaryota, Metazoa, Chordata, Mammalia, Rodentia, Muridae. The record is from RefSeq and is a predicted model, not a curated record. The transcript has 3 exons.
AGUAGGUGGUCAUGGACCUGUGCCCCGAAUCCUGUAAGGCAAGUAGAUGUGGAGUUGACAGGUCUCAGGACAGGAUCUUUCAGCACCAGACACAGGAGCUUCCAGCUUGCAGAACACACACGUCAUAUCUUCCUGGUGGAGCCUCCUAGGGCAGACAGCACCUGUGAACCAUAAGUGGUGGAAUUGGCAGCCUGUCUUUCUAGACCUCACUGAUAUACCACUGUGGCUGGCAGCCAGGCCUGGUUCAGCUAAAUCACAAGUCUGGCUGAAGUUCCCAACAUCUGUAUAUGUUCACUCUGCACUUGGGAAGCAGCCUCCUGAGAGCAAAGGCUGAACCGUCAUCAACAUCUAAGAAGCUUGAAAACAGAGUCUCACCUGAGUCGUGCCCGUGCCCUCCUGGGUGGCAGACCUCUAGUAGGAGAAUGCUAGAAAAUGAAAGUGGAUUGGAGAUUUUGAAUCAUGAGUGUUUCAGCUGAAAUCUAGACUGCUUGGUGCUUGAGGCUUUUCUUCUGCUCUCUCAGAAAUAUUCUUGACAAUUAAAAAUGUUGUUUUAAAAUGCUGUUGAAAGGUGGAGUGACUGUUGUUUACAGAGAUCCAUACAAAAUACAUCUGUCUCUUUACUCCUGAAAGAAAAGGCAGGUUGAACAUAUAAUUUUGCACUGACAGCGUUUACAAACAAGAAUUUUAAAAUAAAAUGUGCCCUUUGGUUUUGUGUGCGUGUGUGUUCGUGCACCUACAUGCGUGCACACUCGUGCAUAUUUGCGUGCAUGUGUGUAUAAGCAUUCCACAGGCAUGUCUGGGAAGCUGAGAGGUCUCCAUUCUUACUGUCAGCUGUCAAUAAGCUAAUGUAGAGCAGAAGCUGGGAUGGAGGUGGCAAAUCCCUCACGCAGACAUCUGAACAGGUUUCCUGUGCCCUACUUACAGACAGAUAGCAUCAUCUGGAAAACCAUACAUCAGAAAAAUAGGUGGCCUGCUCCUGAUGGUAAUGCUUGAGGUGUCUGAAGAAAUUCAGAGGCACAUCCAUUCUUCUCUUUCGCUAUUAUAUUUCUUUCAUUUCUAAGUUAAUGAAGACACAACUUAGAAUCUCAUUUGUUUUAAGGGAAAGGAUUAAACUACAGUGGAUGGAAAGACUCCUAGCACUACCACCUCCACCUGUCUGGUCCGAAGAAGCCAUUCCCUAUGGCUUUGCUGUCAUUCUUCACAUCAUUGUUCAUGUGAAGCGGGGUACCUCUGCAUGAGCGGAGUGGUACCUCCGCAUGAGCACAGUGACUAACCAUUGAGUUAUUUUUCUUGUAGUGACUUUAGUGUUUUAUGAGUCUUUCCAUCUUAUGUCUCAUGAAUUAACCUCACCCCACCAUCUGAAAUAGCACAGUUUGAUC